RNAcentral lists this long non-coding RNA (519 nucleotides) under Homo sapiens (human). RNAcentral describes it as "non-protein coding lnc-RGMA-15:1". Lineage: Eukaryota; Metazoa; Chordata; Mammalia; Primates; Hominidae. The record is from RNAcentral.
AGACCGUAUGCUUAGAGUACAGGGCAAGGGUCUGGGUGUGUCAGUAAGCAGGAAUCAGAGACUUGCUUUUUUAGAAUCGUGCCUAAAAUGAAAAGGAACACACGCAGAGUCCUCCUAUGCAGGGUCUCCAUGGUAUACUAUAGGGACAAUGGGGUAUCUGCAUCUUCAUUGAUUGCAGUGUUUGUUAUAUUUCCAGAUACUUUAAGAAUCCUGAUUAUUACUGUUUUGUGAAGAAAGCUUUUUUUUUCUUUAGUAAGCACCUGCCCUCCCCCAGACAAUGUGACUCUUACGCAAAGGCAUAGUGUUCAUUAUCUGGGGGAGGAAAAAGAAUAAAUCAGUGCUUCUACAUUCAGCUAAAUUACCCUUAAAAGACCUCGCCACUCAGUUGGCUUCCCCAGCUGAGUCAUGGCUUCCUGAGCAGCCAGGGGGCCUAAGGAAGACUCUGUGGGUGGCUCUGAAUGGGGCAAUAACACAGUGCUAAUCCCACCAACUUGGACAUGAGCUUUUUAAAAAGAACAA